Molecule: non-coding RNA, 527 nt
Organism: Corylus avellana
Lineage: Eukaryota; Viridiplantae; Streptophyta; Magnoliopsida; Fagales; Betulaceae
Source: RefSeq, a predicted model, not a curated record
UUUAGAUCUAAAAAAAAAUCUCCAUUCCUCCCUCUCGUUCUCACUCAUCACCGGACUUCACGCCACGCCACCGCCCACGCCCACGCCACGGCCAUGCCACCGCCGCUCCUCCACUGCCGGUCUCUCUCUCUCUCCCCGCUCCUCACCUCCUCUACUGCCGCUCUCUCUCUUCCGCUGAUGUCGCAUUCACUUUAAUGACGGUGGAUAACGAAGAAGAGGAUGUUCUGACAUUGGAUAGUAUCAAUUCCUGUAAGAUUCCAAGUUCAUCUGGAGCAUGUUAAAAUGAGCAUAUUUGUAGAUCAUUCAACUAUUUAAGAGCGAACAACAGGUGGCAAAAAAUGAAAACCCAAUUUGUAUUUGUAAAUUUGUAAAUUGUGAUGUAGUUUUUUUUUUUCCUUUUUUUUUCGGUUUUUUUGUUAUUUGAUUAGACAAUUAAGCCUAUUAACUUAUAACUAUUAACUGAUUUGGUGUGGCUAGCCUGCUAGGAGUUCAAUUUCAAGAGAUAAUUACGAAAAAUAUUAUUAUUU